Molecule: ribosomal RNA, 1405 nt
Filed under: Sunxiuqinia sp. JNU-SGY008
Lineage: Bacteria; Pseudomonadati; Bacteroidota; Bacteroidia; Marinilabiliales; Prolixibacteraceae
Description: bacterial SSU rRNA
Rfam family: Bacterial small subunit ribosomal RNA
Source: RNAcentral
ACACAUGCAAGUCGAGGGGUAACAUUGUAGCUUGCUACAGAUGACGACCGGCGCACGGGUGAGUAACGCGUAUGCAACCUGCCUUUGACAGGGGGAUAGCCCGGAGAAAUCCGGAUUAAUAUCCCAUGGUAUUUACGAAUCGCAUGGUUUGUAAAUUAAAGAUUUUAUCGGUCAAAGAUGGGCAUGCGUGACAUUAGCUAGUUGGUAAGGUAACGGCUUACCAAGGCUGCGAUGUCUAGGGGUUCUGAGAGGAUGAUCCCCCACACUGGUACUGAGACACGGACCAGACUCCUACGGGAGGCAGCAGUGAGGAAUAUUGGUCAAUGGGCGCAAGCCUGAACCAGCCAUCCCGCGUGAAGGAAGACUGCCCUAUGGGUUGUAAACUUCUUUUCUGCACCAAGAAUGGUUACUACGUGUAGUGAUUUGACGGUAGUGCAGGAAUAAGCAUCGGCUAACUCCGUGCCAGCAGCCGCGGUAAUACGGAGGAUGCAAGCGUUAUCCGGAUUCAUUGGGUUUAAAGGGUACGUAGGUGGCCAAUUAAGUCAGUGGUGAAAUCCUGCCGCUUAACGGUAGAACUGCCAUUGAAACUGGUUGGCUUGAGUACAGUUGAGGUAGGCGGAAUGUGUAGUGUAGCGGUGAAAUGCUUAGAUAUUACACAGAACCCCGAUUGCGAAGGCAGCUUACUAAACUGUAACUGACACUGAGGUACGAAAGCGUGGGGAGCGAACAGGAUUAGAUACCCUGGUAGUCCACGCUGUAAACGAUGCUCACUCGCUGUAUGCGAUACAUUGUAUGCGGCCAAGCGAAAGUCUUAAGUGAGCCACCUGGGGAGUACGUUGGCAACAGUGAAACUCAAAGGAAUUGACGGGGGCCCGCACAAGCGGAGGAACAUGUGGUUUAAUUCGAUGAUACGCGAGGAACCUUACCUGGGCUUAAAUGCAGAAUGACAGACGUCGAAAGAUGUUUUUCUUCGGACAGUUUGCAAGGUGCUGCAUGGGUUGUCGUCAGCUCGUGCCGUGAGGUGUCGGGUUAAGUCCCAUAACGAGCGCAACCCUUACCGUUAGUUACCAUCAGUUAGGCUGGGGACUCUAGCGGGACUGCCACCGUAAGGUGAGAGGAAGGUGGGGAUGACGUCAAAUCAGCACGGCCCUUAUGUCCAGGGCUACACACGUGUUACAAUGGCCAGUACAAAGGGCAGCUACCUGGUGACAGGAUGCUAAUCUCUAAAGCUGGUCUCAGUUCGGAUCGAAGUCUGCAACCCGACUUCGUGAAGCUGGAUUCGCUAGUAAUCGCGCAUCAGCCAUGGCGCGGUGAAUACGUUCCCGGGCCUUGUACACACCGCCCGUCAAACCAUGGAAGCUGGGGGUACCUGAAGUCUGUGACCGCAAGGAGCGGCCUAGGUAAA